GUUUGUUCAAUGCUGUGUCCCUAGUGCCUAGAACAGUAUCUGGCACAUGCUCUUAUUCUAUGGCUGACCUUUCUGCCAGCAAGUUUUCCUUGUGUUUAAAAGCACUACGAUUGAAGCAUAAAAGACAAAUGGAAAGAUGAAAUACAGAAGCCCCACACUUACAAGCCCUUCCAUAUGCCAGGCUGCAUGGUUGGAAGGCGAUGUCUGCAGGCUUCUUCCAGGCUACCAGAAGAAAGCCUGAACUAAUUUCCUGGAGGGAAAACAAAGGCCCCACCUUGAACGAAUCCCAAGGCCAAGGGAAAUCCUUGCUUCCCGCAUUUCUACAGCUGCCCCACCUCCAAGUGUGGCUCAUACCCCCACCUGUGCACCCAGUACACCUGGCUGGAUUUCACGGUGGGAGGAUGACCUUUUUCCCUGAGUAUCAAUGUUUUGGGCUCUGAAAGAUUCUCAAAGUGUCCACCAAGAAGCCCUGUCUUAUAGACCUACUGCAGGCCUGCUCUGGAUAAACUUGUGAAUGAGAUGAAAUCCAGCUUCUUUUGGCCCAUUCAGUGAUCCUUUUCCCCAGCAUUUUGUCAACUGGCUGUUGACUGCAGUUUACCUUGCUAACUGAGACCAUAUUUCCAAAGGGAAAGUACAUUAAGACAUGAGGGAUCUGUGGAGCUUGGGUACAGUGGCUUAUGCUUGUAAUCCCAGCACUUUGGGAGGCCAAGGCAGGAGGAUCGCUUGAGGCCAGAAGUUUGAGACCAGCCUAGGCAAUAUAGGGAGACCCCAUCUCUAAAAAAAAAAAAAAAAAAAAAAAAUUAGCUAGCACACAACUGUAGUCCCAGCUACUCUGGAGGCUGAGGAAGGAGUAUAGCUUGAGGCCAGA
This 868-nucleotide long non-coding RNA is filed under the name Pan troglodytes (chimpanzee). RNAcentral's name for it is "long non-coding RNA NONPTRT014666". Lineage: Eukaryota; Metazoa; Chordata; Mammalia; Primates; Hominidae. The record is from RNAcentral.